CGUUUAUUCCGAUUGCUCUGACGUUAGGCUCGCUAGCGUCGAGCAUUCACCUGAUGCUUAGCUCUACUAUAGUAUCCGGUACACACAGUCGCACUUGUUGACGCGGUGAGCGUACGCGAACAGAUCAUCGUAGUCGUGCAAUGCAGUGAUAGUGAUCUGCAUCGACAUACGCAGUUGUCUGGUCCGCUGUCCAUCUCCAGAGCGCUGAGGCAUGACAGUCUGGGGAGUGGACGCAGAUCAGAGUCCCGCCGUAGUUGUUGCAGUUCACGAUCCCUCAUUUAUAGAAGACGUUAUUUGUUUCCAGGUACGUCACCAUGCUAAGCAAGGCGCCAUGGUUGUCCGAUAGCUAGAUUUAAGCUCAAAGGUUUCGAGGGGGAAGGCAUCCAGCCGCGUAGCAUGCGGUUUAAUUCGAAUGAAAGCGGAAAACCUCUGCAGGAUUUGUCAUUGAUCUACUAGUGGAAGGAAACGUGUAACCUUCGAGGGAUAUCGACAGAUCCUGCUUUUCUGUGGUCAAAUGGGGGCGUGAGCUGUACCCUUUAAUUGGACAACGAGCGCCACCCGCACCGUAUUUUAAAUAAUUCAUGAGGAACUGCCUUGUAAGAGGAGGAAGGCGCGGAUGACGUCAAGUCAGCACGGCUCUUACAUCCUGGGCUACACACAUCCUACAAGGGGGAAAAACAAUGAGCUGCAAACCGGUAACGGCAAGCAAAUCUCUCAAAUUUCGCCCCAGUUCAGAUUGGGGUCUGCAAUUCGACCCCAUGAAGUCGGAAUUGCUAGUAAUCGCGAAUCAGCAGGUCGCGGUGAAUACGUUCUCGCCUCUCGUACACACCGCCCGUCAAGGCAGCAAAGUUGGGGGUACCCGAAUGGCCCUACAGGGUCAGAAGGUAAAACCAGCGACGAAGCUUAAGUCGUAACAAGGUAACCAAGGACGAAGCGCGGCCGCCAAAUCAAUAGCGCCACAUC
RNAcentral lists this ribosomal RNA (963 nucleotides) under uncultured soil bacterium. RNAcentral describes it as "SSU rRNA". It matches the Rfam family "Bacterial small subunit ribosomal RNA", at positions 539 to 1533 of the family's 1533-position model. The record is from RNAcentral.